RNAcentral lists this ribosomal RNA (253 nucleotides) under uncultured bacterium. Its description in RNAcentral is "partial 16S ribosomal RNA". It matches the Rfam family "Bacterial small subunit ribosomal RNA", at positions 524 to 776 of the family's 1533-position model. The record is from RNAcentral.
UACGGAGGGUGCAAGCGUUAAUCGGAAUUACUGGGCGUAAAGCGCACGCAGGCGGUCUGUCAAGUCGGAUGUGAAAUCCCCGGGCUUAACCUGGGAACUGCAUUCGAAACUGGCAGGCUGGAGUCUUGUAGAGGGGGGUAGAAUUCCAGGUGUAGCGGUGAAAUGCGUAGAGAUCUGGAGGAAUACCGGUGGCGAAGGCGACCCCCUGGACAAAGACUGACGCUGAGGUGCGAAAGCGUGGGGAGCAAACAGG